AAUUUUAUGUUUCAUAUCUAAAAUUUGGAAUUUAUACGAAAAUUAAAUUAAACUAAACUUAUAUAAUGGGGGAAAUCACAUGUUUACCACUUUCAUGCUACAACUUUUUUAUUUUUACUACCACUAAAAGAACAUUUUUAAAAAUAUCUUCUUCAUUAAGUGGCAAAAGACUCUUAUGCUCUUGUUCUUUAUAUAUAUAAUAAAUAAAUAUUUAAAUAAAUAAAAAUCUAUUUUUUUUUCGAAUUAUACUAUUUCGAAAUUCAAACUCUAACCAUAAAAUUAACCUCUAAACCCUAAACCAUCAAUCAUAAACCUUUUUUUUAAUACGAACUCUAAACACUAAACCAUCAAUACUAAAUCCUAUUUUUUUUUGAAAUACGAACCCUAAACCCUAAACCAUCAACCAUAAACCCUGAAACAUUAACUCUAAACCCUAAACCCUAAACCUUCAAAUCUAAACCUAAAACAUCAACUCUAAACCCUAAAACCUAAACUUCAACUCUAAACUCUAAACCAUCAACACUAAACCCUAAA
Molecule: long non-coding RNA, 534 nt
Filed under: Brassica napus (rape)
Lineage: Eukaryota; Viridiplantae; Streptophyta; Magnoliopsida; Brassicales; Brassicaceae
Description: long non-coding RNA (BNAP_LNC009695)
Source: RNAcentral